GGAGGUAUAGCUCAGUGGUAGAGUAUGUGCCUAGCAUGCACAAGGUCCUGGGUUCAAUCCCCAGGACUGUCA
This 72-nucleotide transfer RNA is filed under the name Camelus bactrianus (Bactrian camel). It matches the Rfam family "tRNA". From Rfam's summary of the family: Transfer RNA (tRNA) molecules are approximately 80 nucleotides in length. Their secondary structure includes four short double-helical elements and three loops (D, anti-codon, and T loops). Further hydrogen bonds mediate the characteristic L-shaped molecular structure. tRNAs have two regions of fundamental functional importance: the anti-codon, which is responsible for specific mRNA codon recognition, and the 3' end, to which the tRNAs corresponding amino acid is attached (by aminoacyl-tRNA synthetases). tRNAs cope with the degeneracy of the genetic code in two manners: having more than one tRNA (with a specific anti-codon) for a particular amino acid; and 'wobble' base-pairing, i.e. permitting non-standard base-pairing at the 3rd anti-codon position. The record is from Rfam by way of RNAcentral. RNAcentral also lists the same sequence under 2 other names. Lineage: Eukaryota; Metazoa; Chordata; Mammalia; Artiodactyla; Camelidae.